ACGAACGCUGGCGGCGUGCUUAACCCCUGCAAGUCGAACGGAAAGGCCCCUUUGGGGGUACUCGAGUGGCGAACGGGUGAGUAACACGUGAGUAACCUGCCCUUGACUUCGGGAUAACUUCAGGAAACUGGGGCUAAUACCGGAUAGGAAUCCUUGCUGCAUGGUGGGGGUUGGAAAGCUUCGGCGGUUUUGGCUGGACUCGCGGCUUAUCAGCUUGUUGGUGGGGUAGUGGCUUACCAAGGCUUUGACGGGUAGCCGGCCUGAGAGGGCGACCGGCCACAUUGGGACUGAGAUACGGCCCAGACUCCUACGGGAGGCAGCAGUGGGGAAUAUUGCACAAUGGGCGGAAGCCUGAUGCAGCAACGCCGCGUGCGGGAUGACGGCCUUCGGGUUGUAAACCGCUUUCAGCAGGGGCGAAGCUUGUGGUGACGGUACCUGCAGAAGAAGCACCGGCUAACUACGUG
Molecule: ribosomal RNA, 464 nt
Filed under: uncultured bacterium
Lineage: Bacteria
Description: partial 16S ribosomal RNA
Rfam family: Bacterial small subunit ribosomal RNA
Source: RNAcentral